Molecule: unclassified non-coding RNA, 256 nt
Filed under: Hevea brasiliensis (rubber tree)
Lineage: Eukaryota; Viridiplantae; Streptophyta; Magnoliopsida; Malpighiales; Euphorbiaceae
Source: RNAcentral
AAAAAAUGCUAAAGAGGAAAAGGGUAAGAAGAAUUAAAAAAAAACUUUAUUUGGAAAGAGUUGAAUUAAUGGAAAGUAAAAAAAUGUGAUAUAUAUUUUUUAUGUUUAGGAAGAUGUGAAAAAAAGGUAAAUUAAAAGAGUGUAAAAAUAAUAAUAGUCAUAACUCUCACAUCCCAUUCUUAUAUCUUAAAUUGAGAUAUAAGAAAAAUUAAAAUUUAAGGAAUAAGAGAGGUUAAGGGUUACCGCUACUCACUUA